AUCGACGAAAGAGCCAGCAGCCAACGGCGCCAUCUACCCCUUUGUGUGUGUCAGCGAGCAUCGCCGGUGGAUCCUUCCCAGCAUCUGAGACCCAUCAGGAACUGCACUACUUAGAAGACU
Long non-coding RNA from Myotis brandtii (Brandt's bat), 120 nucleotides. RefSeq lists it as uncharacterized. The record is from RefSeq and is a predicted model, not a curated record. The transcript has 3 exons. NCBI's taxonomy places the organism in Eukaryota, Metazoa, Chordata, Mammalia, Chiroptera, Vespertilionidae.